AACGCUGGCGGCGUGCCUAACACAUGCAAGUCGAACGCGAAAGGGGCUUCGGUCCUGAGUAGAGUGGCGAACGGGUGAGUAACGCGUGGGUGAUCUACCUUCGAGUGGGGGAUAACGUCCCGAAAGGGGCGCUAAUACCGCAUGAUGUUCUGGGUUUAAAGACCUGGAAACCAAAGCCGGGGACCGCAAGGCCUGGCGCUUGAAGAGGAGCCCGCGUCCGAUUAGCUAGUUGGCGGGGUAACGGCCCACCAAGGCGACGAUCGGUAGCCGGCCUGAGAGGGCGGACGGCCACACUGGAACUGAGACACGGUCCAGACUCCUACGGGAGGCAGCAGUGGGGAAUUGUUCACAAUGGGCGCAAGCCUGAUGACGCAACGCCGCGUGGGGGAUGAAGGUCUUCGGAUUGUAAACCCCUGUCGAAUGGGACGAAUGGCCCGCGUUUUAAUACUGCGCGGGAAUGACGGUACCGUUAAAGGAAGCCACGGCUAACU
RNAcentral lists this ribosomal RNA (491 nucleotides) under Acidobacteria bacterium UCL-011. RNAcentral describes it as "bacterial SSU rRNA". It matches the Rfam family "Bacterial small subunit ribosomal RNA", at positions 32 to 502 of the family's 1533-position model. The record is from RNAcentral. Lineage: Bacteria; Pseudomonadati; Acidobacteriota.